GGCUAAAAAAUGCAUGAGAGAGAGGAGAGACGAGACGACGAGGCGACUGAUACAGAGAGCGCGUGUCAUAGACUGUGCACCACCCUUUUGAUCCUCUUGACUCUUCAUAACUGCCCCUGCAAGCUAAGCCACACCUGAUCAAGACUCUGGCUUUCUUCUACCCUUUUGCUCUCUAAUCUAAUCUCUCUUCCUGAUCACAGCCAUGGCAGCUCCAUCUUCACUCUUCACUUUGUCAAGGUAUGUAUAACAAUGUCUUUUGGCUCUCUUCCUCUGUUCUUCUUUUUGUUUUUGUUAAUUUUUUUUUUUUUUUCAAAAUUUAUUUGUUUGUGUGUGCAUGUAUGUGUGACUGUUGAGUGCCAUUUUUGUUGAUGCUUAUUGCAUACCAUGAUACCAUGUACGGCAUUCUACAUAACAAAAUUAUUUUUGGUUCCAGUUCUUAGUGUUUUGGUUCUCCGUGAGAGAGAGAAAAUAAAUAACAAAGAAGGCCCAAAAGAUGGUUCUUUUUUUCCUUAUGAGCCAGAAAAAGAUCGGUUUUUUUUCUUUCUUUCCUCUUCUUGUGGUGGCUAAGUGGUGGGCAAAAGGAAUAAUUUUUCUGUUUGAAUCCCUUUUUUUUGUUAGUCUAAUUAUUUGCUUUGUGAUCACAAACUCAUAUCAGUUACAUGCAUUGUGUUUAUGAUGUAUACAUACUGAUUGUAUGAUUUAGUAGUGUUUGAGGUGAAUUUGCAGGCCUAGCUUGCUGAAACACUAGAUGUACACAUUGGACAUAAAGAUCUUGAGGUGAAAUCGGGG
This 789-nucleotide long non-coding RNA is filed under the name Prunus dulcis (almond). Its description in RNAcentral is "sRNA ncRNA". Lineage: Eukaryota; Viridiplantae; Streptophyta; Magnoliopsida; Rosales; Rosaceae. The record is from RNAcentral.